GAUGAACGCUGGCGGCGUGCUUAACACAUGCAAGUCGAACGGAAAGGCUCCUGCUUGCAGGGGUACUCGAGUGGCGAACGGGUGAGUAACACGUGGGUGAUCUGCCCUGCACUUCGGGAUAAGCCUGGGAAACUGGGUCUAAUACCGGAUAGGACGAUGGUUUGGAUGCCAUUGUGGAAAGUUUUUUCGGUGUGGGAUGAGCUCGCGGCCUAUCAGCUUGUUGGUGGGGUAAUGGCCUACCAAGGCGUCGACGGGUAGCCGGCCUGAGAGGGUGUACGGCCACAUGGGGACUGAGAGACGGCCCAGACUGCUACGGGGGGCAGCAGUGGGGAAUAUUGCACAAUGGGGGCAAGCGUGAGGCAGCGACGCCGCGUGGGGGAUGACGGCCUUCGGGUUGUAAACGCCUUUCGCUAGAGACGAAGCGCAAGUGACGGUACCUGGAGAAGAAGCACCGGCUAACUACGUG
RNAcentral lists this ribosomal RNA (466 nucleotides) under uncultured bacterium. RNAcentral's name for it is "partial 16S ribosomal RNA". It matches the Rfam family "Bacterial small subunit ribosomal RNA", at positions 28 to 507 of the family's 1533-position model. The record is from RNAcentral.